Molecule: ribosomal RNA, 345 nt
Filed under: uncultured soil bacterium
Lineage: Bacteria
Description: bacterial SSU rRNA
Rfam family: Bacterial small subunit ribosomal RNA
Source: RNAcentral
AGAUUGAACGCUGGCGGCAGGCCUAACACAUGCAAGUCGAGCGGCAGCACGGGUACUUGUACCUGGUGGCGAGCGGCGGACGGGUGAGUAAUGCCUAGGAAUCUGCCUGGUAGUGGGGGAUAACGCUCGGAAACGGACGCUUUAAUACCGCAUACGUCCUACGGGAGAAAGCAGGGGACCUUCGGGCCUUGCGCUAUCAGAUGAGCCUAGGUCGGAUUAGCUAGUUGGUGGGGUAAUGGCUCACCAAGGCGACGAUCCGUAACUGGUCUGAGAGGAUGAUCAGUCACACUGGAACUGAGACACGGUCCAGACUCUACGGGAGCAGCAGUGGGGAAUAUUGGACAA